GGAGGGCGCGCGCGGCGGCUGCAGGAGGACGUGAGGCCCGUGAGGUCCGUGAGGCGGCGGCCGGGCGGCCGGGCGGGACGGGGGAAGCGUGAGGUUGAUUGCAGCGAUGUGGUGUCUCACAGACGCACAAAAGGGGCUAAUAGUAACAGCUCUGUGCUUUUGUGGAUGUUCUGAUUAACAAGACCUGCUGGGACAGAACAAGAGGAGGAGUGACAAAGCAGUAAGUAUAAUUAUUCCUUUGCUUCUUGAGGAUGCUCAGAAGAAAAUCUAAUUUAGCAAUGCCUGGAGCAGCAUCUGACUUACACUUGAGGUUUGU
Molecule: long non-coding RNA, 316 nt
Filed under: Calidris pugnax (ruff)
Lineage: Eukaryota; Metazoa; Chordata; Aves; Charadriiformes; Scolopacidae
Description: lncRNA (ENSCPUG00000017856.1)
Source: RNAcentral